RNA transcript from Orcinus orca (killer whale), 1080 nucleotides. It is a transcript of the gene named 60S acidic ribosomal protein P0-like, with no coding region annotated. The transcript has a single exon. Lineage: Eukaryota; Metazoa; Chordata; Mammalia; Artiodactyla; Delphinidae. The record is from RefSeq and is a predicted model, not a curated record.
CCUCUUGCCAGGUGUCCUCGAGUGAGUGACAUCGUCUUUAAACCCUGCGUGGCAAUCCCUGACGCACCGCCGUGAUGCCCAGGGAAGACAGGGCAACCUGGAAGUCCAACUACUUCCUUAAGAUCAUCCAACUUCUGAAUGAUUAUCCGAAAUGCUUCACUGUGGGAGCAGACAAUGUGGGCUCCGGGCAGAUGCAGCAGAUCCGCGUGUCCCUCCACAGGAAGGCUGUGGUGCUGAUGGGCAAGAACACGAUGAUGGACAAGGUGAUCCGAGGGCAUCUGGGAAACAACCCAGCUUUGGAGAAACCGUUGCCUCACAUCCAGGGGAACGUGGGCUUUGUGUUCACCAAGGAGGACCUCACUGAGAUCAGGGACAUGCUGCUGGCCAAUGACAUGCUGCCUGCCGCCCUGCAAAGUCACUGUGCUGGUCCAGAACACUGGUCUGGGCCCUGAGAAGACCUCCUUCUUCCAGGCUUUAGGCAAUACACUAAAAUCUCCAGGGGCACCAUCGAAAUCCUGAGUGAUGUGCAGCUGAUUAAGAUUGGAGACAACUUGGGAGCCAGUGAAGCCCCGUUGCUGAACAUCUCCCCCUUCUCCUUUGGGCCGGUCAUCCAGCAGGUGUUUGACAAUGGCAGCAUCUGUAACCUUGAAGGGCUCGACAUCACAGAGGAAACUCUGCAUUCUCGCUUCCUGGAGGGUGUCCGCAAUGUUGCCAGCGUAUGUCUGCAGAUUGGUUACCCAGCUGUUGCAUCUGUACCCGCUUCUAUCAUCAGUGGGUACAGGUGGGUCCUGGCUUUGUCUGUGGAGACUGAUUAUACCUUCCCACUUGCUGAAAAGGUCAAGGCCUUCUUUGCUGAUCCAUCUGCGUUUGUGGCUGCUGCCACCACUGUUGCUCCUGCUGCUGCUGCUGCAGCCCCAGCCAAGGCUGAAGCAAAGGAAGAGUCGGAGGAGUCGGACGAGUGUAUGGGAUUUGGUCUCUUUGACUAAUCGCCAAAAAGCGGCCGACUCAGCCGGCUUUAUUUGUGAAACAAGGAAAGAAACGCUUACGUCUCUUACCAAAAAAUAAAAUAAAAUAAAAUAA